GGCCUAACACAUGCAAGUCGAGCGGUAGCACAAGAGAGCUUGCUCUCUGGGUGACGAGCGGCGGACGGGUGAGUAAUGUCUGGGAAACUGCCUGAUGGAGGGGGAUAACUACUGGAAACGGUAGCUAAUACCGCAUAAUGUCUUCGGACCAAAGAGGGGGACCUUCGGGCCUCUUGCCAUCAGAUGUGCCCAGAUGGGAUUAGCUAGUAGGUGAGGUAAUGGCUCACCUAGGCGACGAUCCCUAGCUGGUCUGAGAGGAUGACCAGCCACACUGGAACUGAGACACGGUCCAGACUCCUACGGGAGGCAGCAGUGGGGAAUAUUGCACAAUGGGCGCAAGCCUGAUGCAGCCAUGCCGCGUGUAUGAAGAAGGCCUUCGGGUUGUAAAGUACUUUCAGCGAGGAGGAAGGCAUUGUGGUUAAUAACCGCAGUGAUUGACGUUACUCGCAG
Molecule: ribosomal RNA, 450 nt
Filed under: uncultured Gammaproteobacteria bacterium
Lineage: Bacteria; Pseudomonadati; Pseudomonadota; Gammaproteobacteria
Description: bacterial SSU rRNA
Rfam family: Bacterial small subunit ribosomal RNA
Source: RNAcentral